ACGGCCGGAUUAGUUCCAGCAGGGUCUUCCCCAUUGAUUUUACGUAACGACAAAUAAAGUAAAAACAGCACCUUCGAUGUUUAGUGGGUCACGUAGCCCAGCCCGUUGAGAGAUGUCAGGACAGAAGUCGGAGAAUGUUGGUUGUAUUUGUUUUUCGAGUGUUUAAUAACACUGUUGACAUCGCUGGUGAAUUGCAAGCCUUUAGCCUACAACCCAUUAGUUGAAAGCCUGUGCAGCUUGGAGAUAAGUCAUUAGGCUACAUUUCACCAGGGUUCCUGAUUAACAACCAACAGUAGGCUACAACUCAAGAGUCUCUAUUUUCCAUCCUAGGCCUACCCUUAAUCCAAUUAGAUGACAUAACUAGAAGAGGGAUUAAUAGUAUAAAACGUAGCCUAUCAAGUCUUUCGUGACGCAAAGGUGAGUUUGCCCUGCUUUUAAGACGGAUGUCUGAGAGGCUAAUCCUGACCAUUGUGGCCACAUCUAAACCUCAACUUCAGUUCAGUACCCUGGACAGCGUUUCUUGUCACUUAUCGCCGAGGAACAUUUGGGACCAGAAAACACCUUAUGCAUUAUUGAACACCUGGAUAUGGCAAAGACGGCUUCAGUUUUACUGGGCUAUUUGAUCUUUAUAUACAUUCUGUCACAAUCGUCCCAUGUGAAUGCGACAUGGGCGGAAGAUUUACCUGAGAAACCGGUUGAGGAAAAAAGACAACUGCUUGGUGUUCUUCAGAAUGUUUUAGAGAAACUUCAGAACCCAAGAAUGGGCAUGUGGGAAAGGAAGCACAGCCGUCUUCCACAAUGCAACAUUGGAGAUUACUGCUAUGUGAAAAAGGGACCGCGUUUUGGCCAACUAUGUGACUGCCCCCGGGCUUCGAAGUGCAACCUCUUCUUCUUAAAAUGUUUAUGACCUGAAUAUUACAUUGCUCAAUAUGUCUGUUUUCUAUGAUGACUGAUUUCUACUUUAAACUGAACAUUUU
Long non-coding RNA from Alosa sapidissima (American shad), 977 nucleotides. RefSeq lists it as uncharacterized. The transcript has 3 exons. The record is from RefSeq and is a predicted model, not a curated record. NCBI's taxonomy places the organism in Eukaryota, Metazoa, Chordata, Actinopteri, Clupeiformes, Clupeidae.